Tetranychus urticae (two-spotted spider mite) is the source of this 453-nucleotide non-coding RNA. NCBI's taxonomy places the organism in Eukaryota, Metazoa, Arthropoda, Arachnida, Trombidiformes, Tetranychidae. The record is from RefSeq and is a predicted model, not a curated record.
AUCAGUUUCAAUUAAUAAAAAACUUAAGACUCAACUUUUUGUGAAAUUAUAAGUGAUAUUGAAUCCAACUAUAAAAAAGUGAACAUGCAGUUCUUCAAAUUAGCUUUUGUGUUUUUUUUCAGUACUAUAAUGGCUAUUCUCGCUUUCGCUACGGCGAUGCCAGAUGAAACGAGAGCUAUUAGGGGGAGAAGAGCAACCAUGACUGAGGAGAAAGAAAUGAAAAAGGGCAAAGGCAAAGUCCGUAGGCGUCGGGAUUCUAAGGGGUCAAUAGAUGGGAUAAAUGCAAUACUAGGUAACACUCAAUUCAACAACAAACUUGGUCAUCCAGGAUAUUAUUUUCCUCCAAAUAAAAACAAAAUACUCAAAAACAAAUCUGGUGAAUCGAUACGGUUAAGCAUUUCCCCUUGAAAAUGAUACAAUAAGACAUUAAAAGAAUUUGAAUUUUGAAGAAUA